UGUGCGAUAGUAUAGUGGUUAGUAUCCCACGCUGUCACCGUGGAGACCCGGGUUCAAUUCCCGGUCGCGCAG
Micromonas sp. is the source of this 72-nucleotide transfer RNA. It matches the Rfam family "tRNA". From Rfam's summary of the family: Transfer RNA (tRNA) molecules are approximately 80 nucleotides in length. Their secondary structure includes four short double-helical elements and three loops (D, anti-codon, and T loops). The record is from Rfam. NCBI's taxonomy places the organism in Eukaryota, Viridiplantae, Chlorophyta, Mamiellophyceae, Mamiellales, Mamiellaceae.